Molecule: ribosomal RNA, 251 nt
Filed under: uncultured bacterium
Lineage: Bacteria
Description: partial 16S ribosomal RNA
Rfam family: Bacterial small subunit ribosomal RNA
Source: RNAcentral
UACGUAGGGACCAAGCGUUGUUCGGAUUUACUGGGCGUAAAGGGCGCGUAGGCGGCAAUUCAAGUCAUCUGUGAAAUCUCUGGGCUUAACCCAGAACGGCCAGGUGAUACUGCUUUGCUAGAGUGCGGAAGGGGCAAUCGGAAUUCUUGGUGUAGCGGUGAAAUGCGUAGAUAUCAAGAGGAACACCUGAGGUGAAGACGGGUUGCUGGGCCGACACUGACGCUGACAGCGCGAAAGCCAGGGGAGCAAAC